GUUAAGCGACUAAGCGUACACGGUGGAUGCCCUGGCAGUCAGAGGCGAUGAAGGACGUGCUAAUCUGCGAUAAGCGUCGGUAAGGUGAUAUGAACCGUUAUAACCGGCGAUUUCCGAAUGGGGAAACCCAGUGUGUUUCGACACACUAUCAUUAACUGAAUCCAUAGGUUAAUGAGGCGAACCGGGGGAACUGAAACAUCUAAGUACCCCGAGGAAAAGAAAUCAACCGAGAUUCCCCCAGUAGCGGCGAGCGAACGGGGAGGAGCCCAGAGCCUGAAUCAGUGUGUGUGUUAGUGGAAGCGUCUGGAAAGGCGCGCGAUACAGGGUGACAGCCCCGUACACAAAAAUGCACAUACUGUGAGCUCGAUGAGUAGGGCGGGACACGUGGUAUCCUGUCUGAAUAUGGGGGGACCAUCCUCCAAGGCUAAAUACUCCUGACUGACCGAUAGUGAACCAGUACCGUGAGGGAAAGGCGAAAAGAACCCCGGCGAGGGGAGUGAAAAAGAACCUGAAACCGUGUACGUACAAGCAGUGGGAGCACGCUUCGGCGUGUGACUGCGUACCUUUUGUAUAAUGGGUCAGCGACUUAUAUUCUGUAGCAAGGUUAACCGAAUAGGGGAGCCGAAGGGAAACCGAGUCUUAACUGGGCGUUAAGUUGCAGGGUAUAGACCCGAAACCCGGUGAUCUAGCCAUGGGCAGGUUGAAGGUUGGGUAACACUAACUGGAGGACCGAACCGACUAAUGUUGAAAAAUUAGCGGAUGACUUGUGGCUGGGGGUGAAAGGCCAAUCAAACCGGGAGAUAGCUGGUUCUCCCCGAAAGCUAUUUAGGUAGCGCCUCGUGAAUUCAUCUCCGGGGGUAGAGCACUGUUUCGGCAAGGGGGUCAUCCCGACUUACCAACCCGAUGCAAACUGCGAAUACCGGAGAAUGUUAUCACGGGAGACACACGGCGGGUGCUAACGUCCGUCGUGAAGAGGGAAACAACCCAGACCGCCAGCUAAGGUCCCAAAGUCAUGGUUAAGUGGGAAACGAUGUGGGAAGGCCCAGACAGCCAGGAUGUUGGCUUAGAAGCAGCCAUCAUUUAAAGAAAGCGUAAUAGCUCACUGGUCGAGUCGGCCUGCGCGGAAGAUGUAACGGGGCUAAACCAUGCACCGAAGCUGCGGCAGCGACACUAUGUGUUGUUGGGUAGGGGAGCGUUCUGUAAGCCUGCGAAGGUGGCCUGUGAGGGUUGCUGGAGGUAUCAGAAGUGCGAAUGCUGACAUAAGUAACGAUAAAGCGGGUGAAAAGCCCGCUCGCCGGAAGACCAAGGGUUCCUGUCCAACGUUAAUCGGGGCAGGGUGAGUCGACCCCUAAGGCGAGGCCGAAAGGCGUAGUCGAUGGGAAACAGGUUAAUAUUCCUGUACUUGGUGUUACUGCGAAGGGGGGACGGAGAAGGCUAUGUUGGCCGGGCGACGGUUGUCCCGGUUUAAGCGUGUAGGCUGGUUUUCCAGGCAAAUCCGGAAAAUCAAGGCUGAGGCGUGAUGACGAGGCACUACGGUGCUGAAGCAACAAAUGCCCUGCUUCCAGGAAAAGCCUCUAAGCAUCAGGUAACAUCAAAUCGUACCCCAAACCGACACAGGUGGUCAGGUAGAGAAUACCAAGGCGCUUGAGAGAACUCGGGUGAAGGAACUAGGCAAAAUGGUGCCGUAACUUCGGGAGAAGGCACGCUGAUAUGUAGGUGAAGUCCCUCGCGGAUGGAGCUGAAAUCAGUCGAAGAUACCAGCUGGCUGCAACUGUUUAUUAAAAACACAGCACUGUGCAAACACGAAAGUGGACGUAUACGGUGUGACGCCUGCCCGGUGCCGGAAGGUUAAUUGAUGGGGUUAGCGGUAACGCGAAGCUCUUGAUCGAAGCCCCGGUAAACGGCGGCCGUAACUAUAACGGUCCUAAGGUAGCGAAAUUCCUUGUCGGGUAAGUUCCGACCUGCACGAAUGGCGUAAUGAUGGCCAGGCUGUCUCCACCCGAGACUCAGUGAAAUUGAACUCGCUGUGAAGAUGCAGUGUACCCGCGGCAAGACGGAAAGACCCCGUGAACCUUUACUAUAGCUUGACACUGAACAUUGAGCCUUGAUGUGUAGGAUAGGUGGGAGGCUUUGAAGUGUGGACGCCAGUCUGCAUGGAGCCGACCUUGAAAUACCACCCUUUAAUGUUUGAUGUUCUAACGUUGGCCCCUAAUCGGGGUUGCGGACAGUGUCUGGUGGGUAGUUUGACUGGGGCGGUCUCCUCCUAAAGAGUAACGGAGGAGCACGAAGGUUGGCUAAUCCUGGUCGGACAUCAGGAGGUUAGUGCAAUGGCAUAAGCCAGCUUGACUGCGAGCGUGACGGCGCGAGCAGGUGCGAAAGCAGGUCAUAGUGAUCCGGUGGUUCUGAAUGGAAGGGCCAUCGCUCAACGGAUAAAAGGUACUCCGGGGAUAACAGGCUGAUACCGCCCAAGAGUUCAUAUCGACGGCGGUGUUUGGCACCUCGAUGUCGGCUCAUCACAUCCUGGGGCUGAAGUAGGUCCCAAGGGUAUGGCUGUUCGCCAUUUAAAGUGGUACGCGAGCUGGGUUUAGAACGUCGUGAGACAGUUCGGUCCCUAUCUGCCGUGGGCGCUGGAGAACUGAGGGGGGCUGCUCCUAGUACGAGAGGACCGGAGUGGACGCAUCACUGGUGUUCGGGUUGUCAUGCCAAUGGCACUGCCCGGUAGCUAAAUGCGGAAGAGAUAAGUGCUGAAAGCAUCUAAGCACGAAACUUGCCCCGAGAUGAGUUCUCCCUGACUCCUUGAGAGUCCUGAAGGAACGUUGAAGACGACGACGUUGAUAGGCCGGGUGUGUAAGCGCAGCGAUGCGUUGAGCUAACCGGUACUAAUGAACCGUGAGGCUUAACCUUACAACGC
RNAcentral lists this ribosomal RNA (2911 nucleotides) under Escherichia coli 042. RNAcentral's name for it is "bacterial LSU rRNA". It matches the Rfam family "Bacterial large subunit ribosomal RNA". The record is from RNAcentral. Lineage: Bacteria; Pseudomonadati; Pseudomonadota; Gammaproteobacteria; Enterobacterales; Enterobacteriaceae.